AUUGAACGCUGGCGGCAUGCCUUACACAUGCAAGUCGAACGGCAGCACGGGAGCAAUCCUGGUGGCGAGUGGCGAACGGGUGAGUAAUACAUCGGAACGUGCCCAGUAGUGGGGGAUAAACCGGCGAAAGCCGGACUAAUACCGCAUACGACCUACGGGUGAAAGCGGGGGAUCGCAAGACCUCGCGCUAUCGGAGCGGCCGAUGUCAGAUUAGCUAGUUGGUGGGGUAAAGGCCUACCAAGGCGACGAUCUGUAGCUGGUCUGAGAGGACGACCAGCCACACUGGGACUGAGACACGGCCCAGACUCCUACGGGAGGCAGCAGUGGGGAAUUUUGGACAAUGGGCGCAAGCCUGAUCCAGCUAUGCCGCGUGCGGGAAGAAGGCCUUCGGGUUGUAAACCGCUUUUGUCAGGGAAGAAACGCUCCGGGCUAAUACCACGGAGUAAUGACGGUACCUGAAGAAUAAGCACCGGCUAACUACGUG
This 484-nucleotide ribosomal RNA is filed under the name uncultured bacterium. RNAcentral describes it as "partial 16S ribosomal RNA". It matches the Rfam family "Bacterial small subunit ribosomal RNA", at positions 29 to 507 of the family's 1533-position model. The record is from RNAcentral.